Molecule: ribosomal RNA, 3426 nt
Filed under: Triticum aestivum (bread wheat)
Lineage: Eukaryota; Viridiplantae; Streptophyta; Magnoliopsida; Poales; Poaceae
Description: partial small subunit ribosomal RNA
Source: RNAcentral
AUGCCCGGGCGGCAGCGAGAACGUGAACUCCUUUGUUGCUUUCCAUGCGUCCAACCUACCCCCACCCUCAACGCUCACGGGCGCCUCCACCAUGCUCGAACCAAAUCGCCCAGCUCGCCCACUGUACCACUCACUCACUGUCCAUCUACCUCACUAGAUCUGUCCAUCGCCGUCGAUCGCCACCUCCAUAUCACUCCACCAUUGCCAUCCCACUGCCACUCCAACGGUCCAGCCCAUCCCAUCCCGGCAGCGUCAGAAAUGGCGGCUCCGACCACCGUGCUCCUCCUCCUCCUGCUGCUGCUCUGCGCCGUCGUCGGGCCGCACUCGGCCUACGCGGACGCGCUGCCGGAGCCGGUGAACGAGGAGGUGCUGGGGCUGGUGGUGUUCCGCUCCGCCCUCACGGACCCCUCCGGCGCCCUCGCCGCGUGGGCCGAGUCCGACGCCACGCCCUGCGGCUGGCCGCACGUGGAGUGCGACCCAGCCACCGCCCGCGUGCUCCGCCUCGCGCUCGACGGCCUCGCCCUCUCCUCCGCCUCCGGCCUGCCCCGCGGCCUCGACCGCCUCCCGCGCCUCCAGUCGCUCUCCCUCGCCCGCAACAACCUCUCCGGCGCCCUCCGCCCCGGCCUCUCCCUCCUGCCCUCCCUCCGCCUCCUCGACCUCUCCCGCAACGCCCUCCACGGCCCGCUCCCCGACGACCUCCCCCUCCUCGCCUCCCUCCGCUACCUCGACCUCUCCGGGAACGCACUCUCCGGCCCGCUCCCGAGCUCCUUCCCGCCCGCGCUCCGCUUCCUCGUGCUCUCCGGGAACAGGCUCUCCGGCGACGUGCCCGCCGGGCUCGCCGGGAGUCCGUUGUUGCUCCACCUCAACCUCUCCGGGAACGAGCUCUCCGGCGCCCCCGACUUCGCCAACGCGCUCUGGCCGCUCUCGCGGCUCCGCGCGCUUGAUUUGUCAAGAAACCGCCUGUCCGGCCCUGUGCCGGCCGGCGUCGGCGCGCUGCACAACCUCAAGACCCUCGACCUCAGCGGCAACCGCUUCUCCGGCGCCGUCCCCGAGGACAUCGGCCUCUGCCCGCACCUCGGCGCCGUCGACCUCAGCGACAACGCCUUCGACGCCGAGCUCCCGGACUCCAUGGCGCGCCUCGCCUCGCUCGUGCGCCUCUCCGCGGCCGCCAACCGGCUCUCCGGCGACGUGCCCGCGUGGCUCGGCGGCCUGGCCGCGCUGCAGCACCUCGAUUUAUCGGACAACGCGCUCACCGGCGCCCUGCCGGACUCGCUCGGCGACCUCAAGGACCUCAGCUACCUCAGCCUCUCCAAGAACCGGCUCGCCGGCUCCGUCCCGGAGGCAAUGUCCGGCUGCACCAGGCUCGCCGAGCUGCACCUCAGGGGCAACCAGCUCAGCGGCAGCAUCCCCGACGCCAUGUUCGACGUCGGGCUCGAGACGCUGGACAUGUCGUCCAACGCGCUCACCGGCGUGCUGCCGUCGGGGUCGACCAGGCUGGCCGAGACGCUGCAGUGGCUCGAUCUCUCCGGCAACCAGCUCACCGGCGGCAUCCCCGCCGAGAUGGCGCUCUUCUUCAACCUGCGGUACCUCAACCUCUCCCGCAACGACCUCCGCACGCAGCUGCCGCCGGAGCUCGGCCUGCUCCGCAAUCUGACGGUGCUCGACCUCCGCAGUAGCGGGCUGUACGGGCCCGUGCCCGGCGACCUCUGCGAGUCCGGCAGCCUCGCCGUGCUCCAGCUCGACGGCAACUCUCUCGCUGGCCCCAUCCCCGACAACAUCGGGAAGUGCUCCUCCCUCUACCUACUGAGCAUGGGGCACAACAGUCUGACGGGACCGAUACCGGCGGGCAUGGGGGAGCUGAAGAAGCUGGAGAUUCUACGGCUGGAGAACAACAACCUCACCGGCGAGAUACCGCAGCAGCUGGGCGGGCUGGAGAGCCUCCUGGCGGUGAACAUCUCGCACAACCGGCUCGUGGGGCGGCUGCCGGCGUCCGGCGUGUUCCAGAGCCUGGACGCGAGCGCGCUGGAGGGCAACCUCGGCGUGUGCAGCCCGCUGGUCGCCGAGCCGUGCGUGAUGAACGUGCCCAAGCCUCUCGUGCUCGACCCCAACGAGUACCCGCACGGCGGCAACAACAACGACAGUGACCUCGCGGCGAACGGCGACGGCAGCGGCGGGGAGGCGGUGCCGAGGAAACGGCGGUUCUUGAGCGUGUCCGCCAUGGUGGCCAUCUGCGCGGCGCUGUCCAUCGUCCUCGGGGUUGUGGUGAUCGCGCUGCUCAACGUGUCGGCGCGGCGGCGGAGGGGUGUCGGAGGCGGCUCCGCCGAUGGGCUGUUCCAGGGGAAGGAGCUGGAGCUGGAGAGCAGCGUGGUGUCCGGCAGCUCGACCAAGUCGAGCAAGCUCGCCGCCACGGGGAAGAUGGUGACGUUCGGGCCGGGGAGCAGCCUCCGCACGGAGGACUUCGUGGGCGGCGCGGACGCGCUGCUGAGCAAGGCGACGGAGAUCGGGCGCGGCGGCGCGUUUGGGACGACUUACCGGGCGUCCGUGGGCGAGGGCCGCGUGGUCGCCGUGAAGAAGCUGUCGACGGCGAGCGUGGUGGAGUCCCGCGACGAGUUCGACCGCGAGGCGCGCGUGCUGGGCAAGGCGCGGCACCCCAACCUGAUGCCGCUCAAGGGCUACUACUGGACGCCGCAGCUGCAGCUCCUCGUCACCGACUACGCGCCGCACGGCAGCCUGGAGGCGCGGCUCCACGGCAAGGACGGCGGCGCGGCGUUCCCGUCGCUGACGUGGGCGGAGCGGUUCAGGGUGGUGGCCGGCACGGCGAGGGGCCUGGCCUACCUGCACCAGUCGUUCCGGCCGCCGGUGAUCCACUACAACCUGAAGCCGAGCAACAUCCUGCUGGACUCGCGGUGCAACCCGCUGAUCGCCGACUUCGGGCUGGCGCGGCUGCUCCGGAAGCCGAAGCAGCAGCAGCAGCAGCCGGACGGCAACGGCGGCGUGGGCGCGAUGGGCAGCUGCCGGUUCAUGCAGAGCGCGGCCAUGGGGUACGCGGCGCCGGAGCUGGCGUGCAGCAGCCUGCGGGUGAACGAGAAGUGCGACGUGUACGGGUUCGGCGUGCUGGUGCUGGAGCUGGUGACGGGGCGGCGCGCGGUGGAGUACGGGGAGGACGACGUGGCCGUGCUGACAGACCAGGUGCGUGUGGCGCUGGAGCAGGGGGGCGGUGGGGACGACGACGCCGCGGCGGAGAGACUGGUGGACCCGGCGCUGCGCGGCGAGUUCCCGGAGGAGGAGGCGCUGCCGGUGCUGAAGCUGGGCGUGGUGUGCACGUCGCAGAUCCCGUCCAACCGGCCGUCCAUGGCCGAGGUGGUCCAGAUCCUGCAGGUCAUCCGGGCCCCCUCGCUGCCCGGCUGCACGGCGCAACUUUUCUGA